UACAAUUUUAUUUUUUAUUAAUGUUAUUUGAACGCGCUGCUUGUCUCCGGAUACGUUAAUUUAGCACGGUGGUAUUUUUUAUUCUUUCAAUUCCAUCAAAUUUUCUCAAAUCAAGUCCGCGUUACGAACCUGUGCCGUUUUUGGUUAGCUACAGCGAAAGGGAACCUAAAUCUCAUCGUUCUCAAUCGCGAACGCGAUCAGAUAAAAACAUAUUUAUUGAUAUACAUGUACAUACAUAUGUAUUAUUACAUCAAUUUUUAAUUUAGAAUCAAAAUUUAAUUUAAUUCAUAAUUUUAUAUAAGGUGGAUUCAAAUAUGGCGCAUUAUUAUUUAACCAUAACUAUCGAGAUCGAUAAUCGAUAUUUCGAUGCUUAAUCGAUACCAUCGUCGGCGGCAAUUGUUUUUGGCGGUUGGUUUUCGUUCAUCGUUCUUGCUGUCGGCGUCCUUUUUGGGUGAGUUAAAAAGCUUUGAAUUUCAUUGAUACUGAUCAAUUACCAAUAAAGUUUUAUCGCCGGACACCAUGCGGUGAUCUGCGUGUAUCGGAAUUUCAACGGCAGGUCAAAAUAUCGUCAUAAAGUGAAGGGACGAUCGUACAGCGAAGCGACAGUUUUCCACGCGCGUGGUGUGUGAUGGUAUUGGGAUUGGUUUUGUUGUAUAUUUCCUAUCCUAAGUUUAAAUAUGUUGGAAUAUUAAUCGUAACGGUCAAACAGACGUAGUUACAAUUUAGGAAUUCGUUCAUUUUCAGUUUGGUGGUUUUGGAGGAUCGACUUGGACCGAUAUUUUCAACAUCAUUCAGCCUUGAUUCCGAUAACUUGGUGCAGUUGCAUACAGAGUGCGUGGUCAGUUCGAUCAUGAAAAAUUGUAAAUUGCGGUGAUGAAUUUCGAUGUACCUGUUGCCGCAAUUCACGAUGCUGCGAGUGCACUCGAACAUCCGGAAUAACGUAGUCCGGUUAGUAAGAAUCGGACGAUGAUCCCGACGACGAGUUUACCGGACUUGUACUUAUCAGGGAUACGGCAGCGUCCGAGAGGCCAGUCGGUCUCGAUUUACUGUUACCCUGCAACGUGGACGAACAACCGGACGACGACGACGACGAGGAGGAGGACGACGAGGAGGAGGAGGAGGACGAGGAGGAGGACGACGAAUUGUUCAC
Molecule: long non-coding RNA, 1150 nt
Organism: Athalia rosae (coleseed sawfly)
Lineage: Eukaryota; Metazoa; Arthropoda; Insecta; Hymenoptera; Athaliidae
Exons: 3
Source: RefSeq, a predicted model, not a curated record